GGGCGCAUAGCUCAGUUGGGAGAGCACCUGCCUUACAAGCAGGGGGUCAUAGGUUCGAGCCCUAUUGUGCCCACCA
This 76-nucleotide transfer RNA is filed under the name Vibrio parahaemolyticus. RNAcentral describes it as "tRNA-Val". It matches the Rfam family "tRNA". Rfam says of the family: Transfer RNA (tRNA) molecules are approximately 80 nucleotides in length. Their secondary structure includes four short double-helical elements and three loops (D, anti-codon, and T loops). The record is from RNAcentral. RNAcentral also lists the same sequence under 8 other names. Lineage: Bacteria; Pseudomonadati; Pseudomonadota; Gammaproteobacteria; Vibrionales; Vibrionaceae.